Non-coding RNA from Meleagris gallopavo (turkey), 3765 nucleotides. Lineage: Eukaryota; Metazoa; Chordata; Aves; Galliformes; Phasianidae. The record is from RefSeq and is a predicted model, not a curated record.
CAUAUCAGUGAGAGAGGUGAGAUUCUAUAUAACAAAUAGUGCCCAUUUUUGUAAGGCCAGUGAUGUGCAUGAGUUUGAAUUGUGGCGUUCAGCAUGCUCCAUUAGUAUCACCUGGACAAGAAUCAUCAAAUGUGUUGAGAUGUAGCUAUGCAUGUUUCUAAUUUAAGCCCAAAACCUCAGAGCCAAUGGUUGCUUUCUAAACCCCAUAGCCGGCACGGGACAGUAAAUUAUCUAUGUAAAAGGCCCUACAGCCACAGCCAUUAACAUCCUGGUGUAGUUCAUCUGUCAGACCACUGUGCAACUUAUUAUUGCAGCUGGGGUGGUCCUCUUUGGUAAAUCAAACACUGUUUGAUUCCAUCACAAGUGACGGUGAAUCAAUUUAGAGCCUUAAAAACAACUUUAGCCAUGUUAUGGGCAAUGUCAUGGGCACAUUUCAUUGGUCACCCAGGUGCACGAAAGGAAGGGGUUCGGGUGGGCUUUCCUCUCAGAAGAUAAAGUGAUUUUGUCUUGCAUGUACGUGAAGUGUGAUCCGGUGUCAGUUUCAAGCAGUUGGCUUACCACCUAAUAUAGCUACCAAAAAUCCCAGAGGAGCUACAGUCCUCCAAAAGGUGCCAGUCAACAGAUUCCUCAUCUAUGACAAGGACAGGGAAAUAAAUGGCUGAUGAAUAGAGGACUUUAGAUGCCUCCCUUCCUGUUGCAGUGUUCUGCAGUCAGAGCUGACAGAUCCCUUGGUCUUCCUGGUGGCCCAGGCACCGAGAAGCUUACCAGAACAGGCCUUGUGGGGGCUGUGUUGGCUUCGUGAAUCCCCCAGGUGUCACACACCUGCUAUGUGCAACCCCAGUGAAGACCAUGGAGCCGCACUGAGGUGUGCUGGCUGGGGUGACACCCUUGAAGGACACUUUGGGCAUGGCUUAAGAAGGAGAUGGCUAGGAGUUUCUCACUGAGAAAAUGCAUUCCAUGCAUCUUGAACAAUGUGGAGAAGGAGUAUAUAUGUGGUAUCUGGGGGAGUAUAGAACUCCAUUUCCCCCAUCGGAGGCUGCAAGCACUGCUCUGGCAUGGUGUAGCGUAUGUCAUGAUCCUCAUGCAGCGUUAACAUGUUAAAAGUGAUUUUGUAAACAUAGCCCCUUGAAAAAAGGAGCAAUAAACUCUCUUGUCAGUGACAACUGUUAGCCCAGGAGCUGCUGGGUGAGCAGCUGAAGACGAGUACAAUGAAGCAGUGUGUUGUGAACAAACACAGCGACUUCCUGAACUCUUCAACUUCCCUUCUGUGCCUCUGAAGCCUAGGGUCCAGCAUAUAAUAGCUCUGAGUGCUCAGUGCCAGAAAGUGUGUAAGCUGCAUGCAUCUCACAGUGCUCUCAAGUGUCUUCCAGUGUAAAUAAUACCCUAAUGUCCCUUUGGCCAGUUGGCCCAAAGUUGUAAGUCGGGGCAGAGCAGGUGCAUCUGUGGGCACGUUUGUACAUGCACUCAGACUGCAACUACAGGAGCUCAGAGCUGCAUGCACAAGUAGGCUUCUGUGUGCCCAAAAAGUGUCACAUGGAGCACCUGUCUCAUGGAGUAGUCCUUCUUUCACUUGUGUAUUUCCUUUUGUAGGGGUUUCCCCUGCAUAUCUGCAUUUAAAAUACGUGUCAUUUAUUAGGCAGAUGUGAUUUGUGCAAUAUGUAGCUGCAGUAGGUCCUUAAAUUUGAGGUGCUUGUACUGGAAAACAUUGCUAUGCUAGACAGAUAUUCUCCUUUCUGGAGUUUGUCCCUCCAGGUUCAUCUGUAUCUUCUAUGGUAUCUGCCAGCUUGUAGGGAAGUUGGAUUGUCAAUGGUUGUUGUAGCACAAGUGCAGAUCUCGGCAGCCUGUGAAGUCCCACUGCAUGUUACUGUCUCUUUGCCGCAGCUUGCUUCUCUCACCUCUGUGUGGGGAGGAGGAUUCCUGCAAGCCAUUCCCUCUCAUUUUCCAUUAGAACUAGACACGUUAACCACAAAUAGAAGGAAUCGGAGCUCAUUUGACUUGUUUGGUUGAAGCAAGAAGCCUGUGGGGAGUGGGCCAGGAGGUGACCCCUGGUUGGUGUUACUGGAGGCUACUCACAACAACCAGGUCUUCAUCUGGUGCAGUUGAAUUUAGAAGAUGACAUUUUCAGUGGAAAUCUCGUCGUGUACUUAGAAAUUGUGUAAAAUGCACCAAACAGAAUGCGCGGAAAUAUCCUGUGUUGGUUUGCUCUGGGCUUCUCUGUGUAAGCUGUGGGUUUGUGUUGUAGCCUGGUACCAUUGCAGCCAGCUUUGUGCCAGCAGUUGUUCCCUGCUGACUGACAGUGAUGAUUCUAGGGAUUAAAAAAGAAAAAUCAAAAAGUCUUAAUGUCUGAAGGCUAGACAGUUCCUUGAUCUGCUUCAUCUGCUAAAAUACCAGCUAUUGACUAACUCUGUAAAUGUACUCAUCUGAUCCAUGAGUUUACCACCCUUUCAUGACCUAUGUUCAGGUCCAUUUGUCCUCUCCUUAGAUGACAGUGUGUGGAUACAUACUGCUGAGAAGAGAAUCUUUGCUCUUCCAAAGUCAUAAACCCUUUCCCAUAGGACUUAAACUCCUAUGAAAAUUGUUUGCGGUGUUCUAAUGAAAAAUAUUUCUAAAAAUUUACACUAACUGCACUAUUCCAAGUAGAUACAUCAAUACUUUACCCAUUUGAUAGUCUGGUAAAUGAAUGCCUUGGACUAAAAUUUCCCAUGCAUUCAGUGUAAUUACAUUCUCCACUGUUGCAUUUUUUUCUUCUUUAAAAAGAGAGAGGUGGGAGUUGAACAUAUUGUAGUAGAAUCACAUUUAGGAUUUGGUAUUAAUACACAAAAGUAGUACAAAAAGGGCCAUUGAGUCGUGUAGUGACUCAGAAGGAAACGGAGGAGGGCCCUUUCUGCGUAUAUAGAAAUGUCAGUGGUUCAACACUGACAUGUCAUGGGAGCAGAAGUCUUUUAAACAUGCUGUAAGAGACAGCUUCUUCAUUGGGUUUUAAAAAGUAAAUGAAGCAAGUCUAGCAAGGUGCGGUGAGGAUGCAUAGGGUCAUGUGCUUCUCUACAGGAAACGAGAUCGAAGCGACUGGGGAAGUUCAGAGCUCCGUGACCUCCAUCAAAUUCAAAUAGCACAGGAAUGUACAGUCUGGGAAAUGUUCCUGUGAUCUAAUUAGCUUCAGCAGGUGCAUUCUGGAAGUGAAUUUGUCAGGUCUCGUGUUCUGCUGUUCUGCCCAAGCAUCUCUCCAGCUUCUGAGGAGUAAAAUCCUUUCUACCAUUGCUGCCUGUCCUCCUGGGGGUCAGAAGAAGAUGGUGAUUGAGGACAGCUCAGUAACAGCCCUGUUGCUACUGUUCCCUGGGCAUGGCAGAGAAUGCAGCAGAGGUCCUGGAGCUCCUGCCACAUAAUCUACGCCUCCAGACAGGAGUCUUUUAACCCAGCCUUGGGGCUGACAGGUGGAGAAGCCCCUCACCUUGCAGAUACCACUACACAAUGGACCUGUGGCACCCUGGUGUGCAACCACAGUCAGCAGAAGUCCUCCGGCAGCAUCCCAGAGCUCACUUACCAAAUUUGGUUCCUCUCACUUAUUUCCGUGCUGGCUGAAAGUUGCAACAGCUCAGACUAACUCCUAAUUCCCAAUACUUUUUGGCCUGUUAUACUACAAAACAGUGGAGAGAAGAGGAAAAAAUGUCUUCCAGGCUUCUGUCACUUUGAUUCAAAUGGUAGAAUUUCCUUCUUGCUUCACAAAGCAAACAAGUGGUCAGAUGUGCAGCAUCCUAAAAAAAAAAA